UCACAAAGGGGAGAGUGAGGAAUCUCUGUUUACUAGUAGGAUAAGGGAUCAGUUUGAAAUGGAAGACCUGUAAUUAUGCUGUACAUCAAUAUUCCAUACUUUAGGAGAUGCUUUGAUGCUAGCAGUGCAUACCCAGACAGUGCUGAUUCAAGUUGCUGUGAUGAUACACAUACAUGACAAGCUGGAGCAACACAAAGUUCCUUCACAGAAGCUACAUUUAAGAGCUUUCAGGCCCAAUUUAGAAGAAAUCAGUCGGAACAGAUCCCUGCAAUGCAAAGCACACGUGUGCUGGCAGUUGUAAUUUGGCUCUGCAGCCAUUCUCUCAACAGAGAGCAGGCUGUGUCCUGCAGCGCACUUCUGUAUCACAGCUUACAGAAAAGCGGAGGAAGCUCCAGGAGGAGCCUCCUCAACAUUUCUGUACCUUGUGCAAAGCACAACACGUCAAAUAUCCCCAUGACAAUCCUUUGUGAAAAGCAAGUAGCCUGGAACAAGUUACACUCUUAUCUGUGCCUCGAUCUCCAGCAGAACCAACAUACGCCAUUGUCAAACAAAGCAUCCCCCUGCAUGUCCUGAGAAAACUCAGUGAGGAAACAGGCAUGGAGGAUACAACUGCUCCUCCAGCAAAGAAAGGGGGAACGGAGGGACCAUUCUGUACCACCUUUUGUUUCAGAGCAGUGAGCAAACCACAAACAUUAACAACUACUGCAUUUACAGCAGCUUGCAUUAAAAUACAUAUACAUAAGUCCUAUAGUUUUAAACACUGUUCUUCCAUGGCUCACACAGCUAUACAUGCUAGGGAAGAGAGAAUGGACUUGCGUAGUUGUUAUUAAUCUAGACUGAAAAUUAUUUUAACAUUACUUUUAUUUUUCUAUUAAGAAUAAUUCUUCACAUUUUGGAAUGAACAGACAAGUUUCUGACUUCAGCUUAUUUAACACAAAUCAAAAUUAACAACUGCCAGCAGCUGCAUUCACAUAGAAGUCUGACAUCUACAUUCGGUUUUUUCACAUGGCUCUCCUUUUAUGCUAGUUGUGCUUCUUCAAUCAGUCCUGUUGGGUUUGUUUUACAUUUACAAAGGUUUGAUGUUUUCAUACUUGGCCUUUCGCAAACUCUUAAAGUAUUCAAACCAUUCCCUCCAAGCCCCUUCAGGUGAUGAUCAUGAGUCCUGAAUCACGGGAUUAUUACGCAGUAGCAAUUGCACAAAACUUGCACGAUCAAAUCUCCCUUGAACUCCCAAUAAGACUAAUGAAUUAGACAUCCAUGGAUUAGUAUCACAACUCACACACCCCAUCUAAGGAUGAAUGCUUAACUUGUAGUAAGUGUAUUCUGUAUACUGUCAGAAAAUAAUUUCCCCAUCAUUUCUAUCAUGAAACUGUAGAAAAAAGUAGACCCAUACUUUAGGGCUUCUAAUUCAUGCAAGCAACAUAAAAGGCUGAGAAAGUUUCUUGGCCUGUGGCCAAGAAGAUGGCCAGAGAGCAUAGUAUAACCAGUGAGUAAAAUUUUCUUAAGUCUGCAACUUUGAGAAUUAGAACAUAAGCAGAACAAAGAAAGUCAGGCCUGAAUAAAACGUCACUGAGUAGUACGCCCAACAGGCAUCUUUCCUGUAUUGAAAUGUGGCUAUGUCUCGAGCUAGCUCGGCGCUGUCAGUGAGCGAAAACCGACCUUGGGAGAGAGGCACAGUUAUGCUUGUUGGAAGGAAGCCAUGGGAGCAAGAAGAGAAACUUUAAGAUACGGAGUAGUCUGCAGUGCUUGUGGCCUUGUAGAUAAAGGGAGUUGCUAAGCUGCUGUGUCUGCAAUAGAAAAAAGCGCUAAGAGUGGAAAAUUACUGAGCAUUGUUACAGACUGACAUGUCAGCCUCCUGCAAAGGUAUAAAAGGCUUGUUUGAUUUUAAUAAACUGUCUUUGUGCCUUCGAUCCAGUCCCAGAGUCUGUGCAUCAUACGCCACAUUGACAUACCACUAGAAAUAACUGAAGGAUCCUCUCCUUCCUUCCAGGCUCUUGAGCGAAGCUUUGUACCGUCAGCUUAUAACUGCCUCGUUAUCAGGCUCAUCAGUUCACGACUUGCAACACCACUUUCUCUGGUCUGGCCAUUUUACUUCUGAACAAGUCAAGCUCACUUCAGGUGAUUCUCAUGGGUGUCAAUACAGCCCAAGCUUUCCGGCUUCUUGCUAGCAGACUUUGUCUGUUCCCCAUUUUCAAGGUCUAAAAGAUGUUGAAACUAAGAAACUGGUUUACCUGCACUCUGUGACAGUCACAUUACAGAAUGAGAGAUGAUAUAUACCUUACACACUUUGAUCUCAUUUAAUCUUGCAGGUAAUUGCAUUAUAUUAAAAUAUAUCUUUUUAUAGGUCUUGCUGAGCGCUUUGGCUUCAAUUUUAGAAUCUGCAAUGAGAUCUAGAGGGUACAGAAUUACAGGAGAAAACGCAGAUCUAAAUUCUCACGCAGGGGUACAGACGAAGUCUGAACUGUGCCAUCUAGUCUGAGCCUGGAAUGAAAGGAGAUAGAGCCCACCUAGUACCCUACAUAAACAUCAGGGAUAACUGAGCCUCACUCACUGAUCACAACAAAGAACAAGGAAUCAAAAACCAACAACAACAACAAAAAAAUCAAUCAUGGAUCACAGUCCUCUUUGCUUUUGUUGAUUUACAACUCUCUUAAGAGAAGGUAAUGGAGUUUUGACUUCUAGGUGUAGGUCUGCAGGCAAGUUAAAUGACUUUAAAGACUUAGUCGUGUAGCUUUAAGACAGCCACAAACAUGUCAGGUAUGUAAACAGGAUGUGAAAAAACUGGAACUUAGAAUCGCAGCAUACGGGCACCUACAGCAACAGCAAAUAGCAAGCAAGAAGACGAUGACAGGAAGCCUAUCAGGGUCUGACACAUGUACUAUCUAAGAUAUAUAAGCAAUACGUAAAAAUCAUAAACGCCAUUUUGGCCAUUUUGUCUGAAUCCAGCCCCGUAGAUAUAGUGGUUUUGAGUCAGUCUCAACUUGCAUCAGGGCAGAUCCUGAGACUGUGACCAGUGGGUUACUGGGGAGACAGAGCCUGGUGAAGAGGAGUAGCACAGCGGGCAGCUGCUAGAUGCCGGGAGAACGUGACACCAGUAAGCAUCAACCUAAGUUUGGUAGCAGUUCUGAGGACAAGGACAACAAGCAGAAACCUUGGCGGACCGAUCCCAGCCCCCCUGAGUUCCGCUGACAUUUGUGCCGGCCAACAUUUCCUCCUCCCUCUGCUUCUUCUCCCCUCCUGCCUGCCCCCUCUGUUCCUCCCCUGCCCCCGCACGAUGGAAAUGCCAAAAAUCCGGAAUCGUGUCCAGCUACGACAAGGUUAUCAGUCAGAGGCAGUGAGGAAUGUGGAGGUGGUAUAAAUCCAGUAUCCAGCAUUACGGUAAUGCCACACGACCCUCGGCAAUUUUGGCAGGCUGUAAAAGAUGAGGCACUAAAAGAGGGAAACUGAGAUUUAGUAGAACAGAUAGGCAGACCACUCCUUGAUGUUCCUACUCCUUCCACCACUGCGCUGCAUCCCGUACCCUGUUAUAACAGGAGAUAUGGCUGCUGGUAACCUUAACGUUCAUGUACCGUUUGCUUCGAAAAUAGUGCAGGACUUGCAUAAAACUGUUUCUCAGCACGGGGUGAAUUCGCCGGCUCUAAUGCAAUUGUUGCGCUUGCUCACCACGCACACUUUGUCCCCUUUCGGUAUUUCCCAGCUGGCGCGGAUCAUGCGCCACCCUGCGCAACUGGCGGUCUUCCACGCCACCUGGCGGGCAGCCGCGGAACAGCAGGCGCUGCACAACAGAAACCUUCCGCGAGCCGAUGCCCGGGCUGGCCCAGGGCCUGACGCGCUGACGGGCACCGGGCAGUAUUGCCAGCCCUCGGCAGCGGGCUCGGUGGCCCACCCCAGUAUUAGAUCAAAUAAAAAAUAUAGGCAUGCAAGCAAUAACGAAAACCGCGCAACUAGCGGAGCCAAAAAAAGAGUUAUACAACAAUUAAGCAAGGCCCCAAAGAACCAUUUUUGCCGCUUGUGGAAAAGUUGCAACAUGCUGUUGCCUCUCAAGUGUUUGACCCUCACUGGCGUGCCAUGCUAGUAAGGCAAUUAGCCAAAGAUAAUGCCAAUGCUGAUUGUCAAAAAGUAAUAGAAGGAUUGCCAGGAGAACCCAGUUUAGAAACUAUGCGAUCAGCCCGUGCCAAGGUAGGUACCUUGGAACACAAGCUAGCAGUAAUGGCUGCUGCGGAAAUGCAACGUUACUCUUGCGGUAAGUCAGGACACUGUAAACGGGACUGCCCCUCCAAAAAACAAUGCGUGGCACAACCCAGACUGUCCCCGGCAGAAAUUACUUGUUUCUGCUGUAGAAAGGUCAUUUUGCAAAGCAAUGUCAUUCUGAUUUCGAUAAAGAAGGAUUCCGCCUAGCAGGCCAGGGAAAAGCUCACAAGAGCGCGAGGAGGCGCACGCCGCCACACCAACCGGCCACAAAACAUCCAAGUCCACAUUGAUGUUACUGAUGUAGAAUCUACAGGUGAAGUAUGUGCCUUGGUUUCUACACCUGUGCCUCCUGCUACAAUCCCAAAAAAUAGACACCUUGCUCAACUUGUGCCUUUUGUGAGUUGUUCCCUGAACAGAGCCCGCAUGGCGGGGUGAUGAAGGAUUCGGCUCCACAGGAAUACCUCCAGUGUGUUGGACACAAGGACUAUCUCCACAAGGACUCAACCUGACCUGCACUCUGGCAUUAUCGGGAGGCACUCCUGCACAAGGGAAGUUGAGUGGCCUUCUGGAUACCGGAGCAGACACAACUGUUGUAUCAAGCAAGGACCGGCCACCUCCAUGGCCCCUGGUAAAUAACGUAGCGGGAGGCGUAGGUCUGGGGGGCAUGACUACUAGCUGCUUGUCUGUGAAACCUGCACAGAUCAAAACACAAGAAGGACAGACUGCCAACGUCCACCGCGCCACUGGCUUUGUGGGGCUGAGAUUGUUUAGGACAAUGGGGAGUUGGGUUUUAACCACCGAUUUUUAACUGGGGCCACUGUACUGCAGCAGUGAAGCCCCCUACCCUUGGGGUCUGCUUGGUUAACUGACACACCGGUAUGGGUAGGUCAGUGGCCCCUGCCCCAGGAAAGGCUGUGUGCCCUGCAUGAAUUACUUAAGGAACAAUUAGACACAGGCCACAUCGAAGAAUCACAUAGCCCAUGGAACACCCCUGUAUUUGUGAUAAAAAAGAAGUAAAGGGCGAUUGUUGCAUGACCUGUGUAAAGCCAAUGCAGUGAUGGCCCCUACGGGGGCCUUGCAGCCGGGAUUUCCAUCUGCCACCAUGAUACCAAUGGAGUGGGACAUUUUAUUGAUCUGGAAGAUUGGGUUUUUACCUUUUCCUUUACAGUACCAACUAGAAAUAACUCUGAGCCCACAAAAAGGUACCACGGGACUGCAGUGCCUCAAGGCGUGAGAAACUCGCCAACCGUUUCUCAGUGGUUUGUAGCCCAAGCCCUGAGCUCAGCCAGAGACAAAUACAGAGAUGUUUACUGUUAUCAUGACAUGGAUGACACUUUGCUAGCAGCACCAUCCAAAAGAGCUGCUGGAGACAGGUGAGAAGGAUGCCAGACAUACGUUUAGCAGAAUUUGGAUUGAUUGUAGCUCCUGAAAAAUUUCAGAGACAAGAGCCCUGGAAAUAUCUGGGCAUGAAUGUGCUGAAGAGAACUGUCUCUCCACAGCCUAUCCAAUUGAAACUGGAUGUAAAGACCUUGAAUGAUGUCCAAAAGCUUGCAUGAAUGCUGAAUUAGCUAUGGCCUUUUUUAGGCCUUACUAUGAACAAAUGCAACUACCUUUGCAACUUUAAAAAGGAGACACAGAUCUUUCAGGCCCAAGGCAUUUAACGGCUGCAGCCUUGGCACUUGUGAAAGAAGUUGAACAGUCGAUCUCUGCACGACAUGUGUGGCGUGUAGAUACCACACUUCCUUUAAGUGGUUUUAUUUUAAUGGAACGAUCCUCUCCUUAUACUACGUUGGUCCAGUGGAACCAAGCUGGGGAAGAUCCACUGCAUGUGCCUGAACGGUUGGUUUUGCCUUUGCAGUCUAAGAAAACUGUUGUUGGAUGGUACGAAUGUGUUGCCAAUUUGAUCAUAAAAAUCCAAAAAUGAUGUUCAGAGUUGAGUAGAGUUGAUCCAUCAGCUGUGAUUAUCCCUGUACAACAAUUCUAUUUUGAAUAGGCUCUGUCAAACUCUACUGCCCUUCAAGUGGCUCUUGCCAAUUUUCAAGGGCAAGUUCAGUACCAUCAUCCACUUUUGAAAAUGACUGUAGAUCUCACUUUGCAGCCACGGCAACUAAGUCAGAGACGACCAGUCAAAGGUGACACAGUGUUUACAGACGGGUCUGGAAAAACUGGAAAAGCUGCAGUCACUUGGAAACAGAAUGGGCAAUGGCAUUCCCAAAUUGCGUAUCAGGAAGGAUCCCCGCAAGUCGUAGGGGAUCCAAGGGCUGCGGCCUUGGCAUUUCAUUACUUCCCAGGCCCUCUUAAUCUUGUUACUGAUUCAGCCUGUGUGGCAGCCCUCCUUCCCAAGUUAGAGAUGGCUGUCCUUGGCCAUGUCAACAAUCCCAAGCUUUUUACAGUUUUGACUUUAGUUUGGGAAGAAAUUCAGAAAUGCCAUUCUCCAUUUUAUGUUAUGCAUGUUAACAGCCAGACUUCCCUACCCGGUUUUGGAAUUGAAGGCAGUGCUAGAGUUGAUGCUCUAGUUUCUGUGGCUCUGUCAGUACCCGUUCCUGAUGCCCACCAGCAGGCUGUGUUAGCCCACCAAUUCUAUCAUCAGAACUGGUGAUCCUUGUAUAUCAA
Falco peregrinus (peregrine falcon) is the source of this 6804-nucleotide long non-coding RNA. RefSeq lists it as uncharacterized. The transcript has 2 exons. The record is from RefSeq and is a predicted model, not a curated record. Lineage: Eukaryota; Metazoa; Chordata; Aves; Falconiformes; Falconidae.